AACGAACGCUGGCGGCGUGCUUAACACAUGCAAGUCGAACGCGAAAGUUUUCUUCGGAAGAUGAGUAGAGUGGCGCACGGGUGAGUAACGCGUAAAUAAUCUACCCCUGCAUUUGGGAUAACCCACCGAAAGGUGAGCUAAUACCGGAUACGUUCUUUUGAUCGCGAGAUUAGGAGAAGAAAGGUGGCCUCUGAUAUAAGCUACUGUGCGGGGAGGAGUUUGCGUACCAUUAGCUAGUUGGUAGGGUAAUGGCCUACCAAGGCAACGAUGGUUAGCGGGUCUGAGAGGAUGAUCCGCCACACUGGAACUGGAACACGGACCAGACUCCUACGGGAGGCAGCAGUGAGGAAUAUUGCGCAAUGGGGGAAACCCUGACGCAGCGACGCCGCGUGGAUGAUGAAGGC
This 404-nucleotide ribosomal RNA is filed under the name uncultured bacterium. Its description in RNAcentral is "bacterial SSU rRNA". It matches the Rfam family "Bacterial small subunit ribosomal RNA", at positions 29 to 415 of the family's 1533-position model. The record is from RNAcentral.